RNAcentral lists this ribosomal RNA (444 nucleotides) under uncultured bacterium. RNAcentral describes it as "bacterial SSU rRNA". It matches the Rfam family "Bacterial small subunit ribosomal RNA", at positions 331 to 792 of the family's 1533-position model. The record is from RNAcentral.
CCAGACUCCUACGGGAGGCAGCAGUGGGGGAUAUUGCACAAUGGGGGGAACCCUGAUGCAGCGACGCCGCGUGGGUGAAGAAGCGCCUCGGCGCGUAAAGCCCUGUCAGCAGGGAAGAAAAUGACGGUACCUGAAGAAGAAGCCCCGGCUAACUCCGUGCCAGCAGCCGCGGUAAUACGGAGGGUGCGAGCGUUGUCCGGAUUUACUGGGUGUAAAGGGUGCGCAGGCGGCUCUGCAAGUCAGGCGUGAAAGCUAGGGGCUCAACCCCUAAAUUGCGCUUGAAACUGUGGAGCUUGAGUGAAGUAGAGGCAGGCGGAAUUCCCGGUGUAGCGGUGAAAUGCGUAGAGAUCGGGAGGAACACCAGUGGCGAAGGCGGCCUGCUGGGCUUUAACUGACGCUCAGGCACGAAAGCAUGGGUAGCAAACAGGAUUAGAUACCCGUGUA